ACUAGACAAUAAUUAAGAUAGUUGAAAAUGGAAUUUUAUAUUAAUAAUGUCUUCUUAUAUUCAAUAUUUUCCUUGGUUAAGAGUGCAACAUGAGCUGUAGAUAUGAACUUAACUGUCAGAUGAACAUUGGAAGUGAACAAGAUUUCUGCGCAAAGAUUUUCUCUGGUCAAGAGUGCAACAUGAGCCGUGGAUAUGAACUUUACUGUCAGAUGUACAUUGAUUGGAAAGUGAACAAGAUAUCUGCACUGAGAAUGAACGAAGUUGAAGAAAGUUGAAAGGCACCCCUGAAGAACCUGAGAUAACAUAUGUGAAAUGUGAUCAAUUA
This is a long non-coding RNA of Dendronephthya gigantea, 325 nucleotides long. RefSeq lists it as uncharacterized. The transcript is spliced from 3 exons. The record is from RefSeq and is a predicted model, not a curated record. NCBI's taxonomy places the organism in Eukaryota, Metazoa, Cnidaria, Anthozoa, Malacalcyonacea, Nephtheidae.